AAAGAAAUGAUGACUAUUGAUAAGGCAGAAAGCAAAAACAUAUCAUCAGUACUUUGGAUGACCAAAUAUGUAAGUGAAGGUUUCUAAACUCUCCCAAAUCACACUGAUUAUACUCAUUCUAAUUAGAAGUUUUAAAUCCUUGCAACAUUGUAAUAAAAUUUAUUCUUCCCCAUUGUGAUAUAUUAUUUAUGAGUUAUGACUACUUAAUUAUUGAUUAAUCAAGCCAAGUACUCAAGUUUCAUCAACUUUCUGAUAUGUAUCUAGCACAACCUGUCACUUUACUUCCAAAUCCAUUGUCACAUUAUGCAAUGCCUGAUUAGGAAAUGUGUUUGAGUCUUUGGACGCUACAACUCCUACUUAAAGUAUUAAACUGAUUUCAUUAAGUUGAAUGAAUGACUAAGAUAUGAACAUGACAAAUAAUAUAUCAUAAAAAGGCAAAAAAUGAAUAAAACAACUAUAUAUACUGUGCAAAUAUAACCACGGAUUUAAUGAUCCAAAUACAUGUGAAAGGCAAAUGUUUAGCCUAUCUGUAAUUAAAGAGGUUUCAACUCAACUAUGAUAAGAGAGCUAAGUAAAUAGCAAGCUCUGUUGAAGGAAUCCGUACGAAGAACGUCAAGUGAUUUAUUAAAAUCAUAUGUCUGAAGAAUUUCAGGAUGCUGUUGCACACCACUGAUAGAAGUUCAUUAAUAUGUUCAAGCCUCAGUGUACAAAUAAUAUUUUGUAGCACGUCCAGAAGUCCAGAAGGUAUAAAGUUUUAAUACUUUAUUUAUUCAGAAGAUUCCAUACUAUUUCUACAAAUGAAGAAGAACUACGAAGACAAAGACUCGUCGAACAAGGCACCUCUCAAAUAUUUAUUUGAUAAAGAAUAUUUGAUUCAACUAGAUACAGAUGAACCAGACAGUACAUUUGUGUGUCAGCUACUCAGAUUAAUUAUUCUACAUCAACUAUAAGUGGCCGUUCAAUGAAGACAAUGACGGAAGACCCUGCAGCUGAAGAAAUAGAAUUUUAUAAUUAUUUAUUUAAUUAUUUCACCUCUCAAAAUAAUUAAAUUGGUUGUAUAAUUUAUUUAUUAAAUUGAUUCACCUUCGAAUUAAUUUAAUUUAUGAAUUUAUAUAAUUAAUAUAAUUAAGUGAAUAAUUAUUUAAUUGCAAAAUCAUGUUUUAUACAUUUAUAACUCGGCAUGACAUUAUCAAACAAUGUCAUACCGAGCUAUUUUGGUACAUUUCUCAGUGGGCAUGACAUUAUCUGAUAAUGUCAUACCGUGUCCCCUGGGUAUGACUUGUGGAGAUGUCAUACCGCACCUGCCUGACAUGACUUGUGCAUGUCAUACCGAAUGCAUCCGUAUGACAUUCCCUUCAUAUGUCAUACCGUGCCCUGUCUGUAUGACUUGUGCAUGUCAUACCGUGUCCUCUCUGUAUGACUUGUGCAUGUCAUACCGCACCUGUCCCGUAUGACUUGUGCAUGUCAUACCGCACCUGUCCAGUAUGACUUAGCUAUGUCAUACCGAGUUUUUCAGUAUGACAUUGCCUUAUAAUGUCAUACCCUCCCCUGUUUCAGUAUGACAUUGCCUAAUAAUGUCAUACCUUGUUCCUUGCAUGUCAUACCUUGUUCCUUGCAUGUCAUACCUAUACAAGUCAUACCCAAGCAAGUCAUAGCAUGGCAUGUCAUGCUAGUUCAAGUGGUUUUCCUAUAAAUAGGUCUCCACUUCCUUCAUUUGUAAAUGUUCAAAGAUUGUAAAGCUUUCAAGUUGUGCUAAACUUGCUAUUUGUUAAAUCCACAGUUUACUGUGCUUUGAUCAUUCGGUUGUUUUAUUCCGCUAAAUUAGAAUACUUCCUGUCAAAUUUAUUCUACGAACUAGUGGACAUUAAAACGAACCAUAUUAAUUAUAUAACGACUUAAAACAUUGUUAUAUUAAUUAAUUAAUUAAAAUCUGAUUAACAAGUUUAUAUUCAAUCAGAUUAUUCCGCCGCGAUUAUUUUUAAGUAACGAUUGUAUUCAACACCCCCCCUCUCUAAUCGUUCCAGGACCUAACAAUUGGCAUCAGAACGAGGUUGAUACCAUUUUCCGUAUCAGAUCCUAUACAUACUCUGUAACGUCCAAAUAUUUUUUAUUCGAAUUAAUUUUAUUCCAAAAAUUAAUUCUGAUUUAAAAUAUUUUUUCUUUCAAAAAUCCAAAUCUCAUCCAAACACUAUUCACUUCAAAUCCUUAAACAUGAGUACACAAAAGAUCAGUAGCAUCAAAAUCCCACCGUUCAGCAAGGAACACUUUGGCCUAUGGAAGAGGCACAUGUUACUAUUCCUCCGCACUGCAAACAGAAAAUACAUAGGGAUAUUAGACAAGGGUGUUUCUAUUCCAAUGAAAGUCAUAUUAGCACAUGAAGAAAAUGGUGUGUUAAUACCUCAUCAGACUAUUCCAAAAGAACUCUCUGAUUAUACAGAUGAAGAGAGUGAACAAAUGAACCUAGAUGAUGCUCUUCAACUUAUUUUGGUGGAAUCUCUAGAUCCAGUUAUGUACAAUACUGUUGUUAAUUGUACAAACGCAAAGCAAAUUUGGGAUACACUAGAGAUUAUAAACGAAGGCUCAGAAGAGGUCAGAGAAAAUAAGAAAGAGAUACUGAUGGCUCAGUAUGAACAGUUUGGUUCCAAUCCCGGAGAAGGGAUUUCAGAAGUAUUUAUCAGACUCAAUAAUCUGAUAAAUAAUUUAAAUCUGAAUGGGAAAUACUAUGACACGAAAGAGGUUAACAUGAAGUUUCUCUUAACCCUUCCCGAACAUCUGGAACACAGAAUCACUGCUAUCAGAUAAAGCAGAGAUCUGAAUGAGAUAUCUCUGGAGAGACUCUACGGAGUUUUGAAGACUUAUGAACUUGAACAAGUUCAGACAAAGCAGAGAUAUGGCUGGGGUAAAACACUGAGUAACUCAAGAGCUCUAGUUGUUGAGUCACCUACACCGGAAGAAAAGAAGGAUGUUGUUGUUCCUUCUAAGACCACUCAGGAAUUUGUUGUACCUGAGAUGGGUCAGACUGCUUCUUCCAGUGGUGACGAAGAGUUCUAUACAAUGGAAGAGCUAGAUCAGUUAGAAGAUCAAUCUCUAUCACUGUUUGCCAAGAAGUUUGGAAACAUCAGAUUCAAGAAGAACCCCUCCUACAAGUACAAACCUACUGUCAACAGGUUUCAAAAAGGAGGUUACUCAUCUUCUUCAAGCAAAGGAGGAUACAAGACUGGGAUGGUGGAUCGAAGCAAGUUCAAAUGCUUCAACUGUGGUGAGCCUGGACAUUUUGCAACUGAAUGCAAACAGCCCAAGGUUCAAGGAAAGAGAAAAGAUUCGUACGAUGAGCUGAAGCAGAAGUAUGAUGCACUUGUGAGAAAGCAUCAGGGUACUUCUGGAAAUCAUAACUUCAAAAGCAAAUCAUAUCUGGCAGAAGGAAAAAGCUGGGAUGAUACAGACAGUGAUGAAGAGGAGCAGCUAGGGAAUGUUGCUCUUAUGGCUAAUGCUGGAUCAUCUUCACCUCCUCCUGCUGGAAGCUUUCAGGUAGAUCCUACAUGCCCUAAACUUUUUAUGCAAUUAGGACUUGAAAGAGAUGAUGCUAUUAAAAAGAUGAAAGCUGCCAAUCUUAAAAUUGAUACUUUAGUCUUAGAAAUUCAUGCUUAUAAGAUGAAUGAGAUGAAAGUAUUAAAACCUAAAAUAGAACAAUUGACUAUGGAUUUAGGAUUACAAUGUGCUAAAGUCAAAGUUCUAGAGAAAGGUGAGAUUGCUUUAAGACUUCAGCUAGACGAAGAGAAAGUGAAAUGUAAAGCCUUUAAGGAUGCCUCCAUGAUAGUCAAAGAACUUAAUGAUAAACAAGAGAUCAAGAGAACUGUUGGAAUAGGUUUUGACUAUAACAAAUCUGUAGGUAAGGCUAGUAACAUUACUCCUUUUAAGAAGAGUGCUGAGGAGAGAGGGAUUCCUUUUGUUUUGAAAGAUUCCCCUAAACCUUUGUUUAAAACCUCAGAAGCUGAACCUCUUUUAGAGACUCCUGUUGUCAUUAGAUAUGAACUCAAACAGGAAGACCUUAAAAUGAAAGAGAGUAAUGAGAAGAGAGAUGAGAUCCUGACAUCACUGAAACCAAUCAAAGUGAAAGGCAAUGUUAGGUUGCCUAAAGCUGGUUUAGGUGUCAACUCUGAGAGAACUAAAUUCAACAAGCCUAAUAAUUUUGUGAAUAGUAAGAACAAGAACAAUAGAUGUCAUUCUACUGAGAACUUUAAAUCUGAUAACAAGGUUAGAGUAGAAUCUAUUGAUGUUCCUACUACUAUGACUGAUACUCCUGUUGUUCCUGCUUUUGAUGCAUGUCAUAAAUCUUGUAGUGUUGAUAAUUGUAUGACUUGUGCUUUCAAUUUGAUGUCUGCUUAUUUUAAAAAUUUGCAUGCUAAAAAUGAAAACACAUCACCUAGACAACACACAAACAACAAGCAUGCUAGAUCAAAGACUGCUAGUCCUACUCAUGUUAGGAAGGAGACUUAUGUUCCAAAGCCUAAAACUAAGGUUUAUAAGGCUGUUGUUAAGGAAGUAAGUUCAGUCAAGUCUGAACCAAGUAUCAGUCCAAGAGGCUCUGUUGUUACACCUGAUAGAAAUCAGUUCUUUAAGUUUGCUGGACCCAAUCAAGUGUGGGUCCCAAAGAAUGUUUAAUCAAGUUGUCUUUUGCAGGGUGCCAGUGGAAUUGUUCGUGUUACCUGGGUGCUUGACAGUGGAGCGUCAAUGCACAUGACUGGCAAUAAAUCCCUGCUGGAAGACAUAAGAGAAGGAGCUGGCCCUACAGUCAGUUUUGCUGAUAAUAGCAAAGGUCGUACUGUGGGAUAUGGCAAGUACAAAAUUGGAAGGAUCAUCAUAGAAGAUAUUGCAAUAGUUGAAGGACUUCAACAUAAUCUCCUGAGUGUCAGUCAAUUCUGUGACAAAGGAUAUUAUGUUCAUUUUGAAAAGGAGAUAUGUAUCAUUAAACAUAUCAAGGAUAAGCGUCCUUCACUAUGUGGCAUAAGGAAAGGCAAUAUAUUCGUAGCUGAUUUGUCUUCAGGACCAGGAAACGAAGUUCACUGUUUCUACGCCAAAGCGUCUGCUGAAGAUAGUUGGUUAUGGCAUAAGAAGCUCUCACACCUCAACUUCAAAACCAUGAACUCUCUAGUCAAGAGAGAUCUAGUGAGAGGUUUGCCUUCCCUGGAAUUCUCAACUGAUGAUCUCUGUGAAGCUUGUCAGAAAGGAAAAGCGAAGAGAGCAUCUCACAAAGGCAAAACCAUCAAUACCAUUACAGAUCCACUUCAUUUGUUGCAUAUGGAUUUGUUUGGCCCUGUGAAUGUUGCAUCCAUUGAUGGAGGAAGAUAUGCCUUGGUUAUUGUGGAUGACUUCUCAAAAUUUACUUGGGUUUACUUCCUGGCUUCUAAGGAUGAAACCCCGUUGACAGUGAUUGAUCAUAUAAAGUUAGUUGAAUUGGAUAAAGGUGUGCCAGUGAAAUGAUGCCGACAUCACUGAAACCAAUAAAAGUGAAAGGCAAUGAUAAAACUAAAUUCAACAAGCCUAAUAACUUUGUGAAUAGUAAGAACAAGAACAAUAGAUGUCAUUCUACUGAGAACUUUAAAUCUGUUAACAAGGUUAGAGUAGAAUCUAUUGAUGUUCCUACUACUAUGACUGAUACUCCUGUUGUUCCUGCUUUUGAUGCAUGUCAUAAAUCUUGUAGUGUUGAUAAUUGUAUGACUUGUGCUUUCAAUUUGAUGUCUGCUUAUUUUAAAAAUUUGCAUGCUAAAAAUGAAAACACAUCACCUAGACAACACACAAACAACAAGCAUGCUAGAUCAAAGACUGCUAGUCCUACUCAUGUUAGGAAGGAGACUUAUGUUCCAAAGCCUAAAACUAAGGUUUAUAAGGCUGUUGUUAAGGAAGUAAGUUCAGUCAAGUCUGAACCAAGUAUCAGUCCAAGAGGCUCUGUUGUUACACCUGAUAGAAAUCAGUUCUUUAAGUUUGCUGGACCCAAUCAAGUGUGGGUCCCAAAGAAUGUUUAAUCAAGUUGUCUUUUGCAGGGUGCCAGUGGAAUUGUUCGUGUUACCUGGGUGCUUGACAGUGGAGCGUCAAUGCACAUGACUGGCAAUAAAUCCCUGCUGGAAGACAUAAGAGAAGGAGCUGGCCCUACAGUCAGUUUUGCUGAUAAUAGCAAAGGUCGUACUGUGGGAUAUGGCAAGUACAAAAUUGGAAGGAUCAUCAUAGAAGAUAUUGCAAUAGUUGAAGGACUUCAACAUAAUCUCCUGAGUGUCAGUCAAUUCUGUGACAAAGGAUAUUAUGUUCAUUUUGAAAAGGAGAUAUGUAUCAUUAAACAUAUCAAGGAUAAGCGUCCUUCACUAUGUGGCAUAAGGAAAGGCAAUAUAUUCGUAGCUGAUUUGUCUUCAGGACCAGGAAACGAAGUUCACUGUUUCUACGCCAAAGCGUCUGCUGAAGAUAGUUGGUUAUGGCAUAAGAAGCUUUCACACCUUAACUUCAAAACCAUGAACUCUUUAGUCAAGAGAGAUCUAGUGAGAGGAUUAUGUUCAUUUUGAAAAGGAGAUAUGUAUCAUUAAGCAUAUCAAGGAUAAGCGUCCUUCACUAUGUGGCAUAAGGAAAGGCAAUAUAUUCGUAGCUGAUUUGUCUUCAGGACCAGGAAACGAAGUUCACUGUUUCUACGCCAAAGCGUCUGCUGAAGAUAGUUGGUUAUGGCAUAAGAAGCUCUCACACCUCAACUUCAAAACCAUGAACUCUCUAGUCAAGAGAGAUCUAGUGAGAGGGUUGCCUUCCCUGGAAUUCUCAACUGAUGAUCUUUGUGAAGCUUGUCAGAAAGGAAAAGCGAAGAGAGCAUCUCACAAAGGCAAAACCAUCAAUACCAUUACAGAUCCACUUCAUUUGUUGCAUAUGGAUCUGUUUGGCCCUGUGAAUGUUGCAUCCAUUGAUGGAGGAAGAUAUGCCUUGGUUAUUGUGGAUGACUUCUCAAAAUUUACUUGGGUUUACUUCCUGGCUUCUAAGGAUGAAACCCCGUUGACAGUGAUUGAUCAUAUAAAGUUAGUUGAAUUGGAUAAAGGUGUGCCAGUCAAAGCUGUAAGGUCAGACAAUGGCACAGAAUUCAAGAAUCAAACUCUAAUCAACUUUUACUCUGAAAAGGGAAUUAGAAGGCAGUAUUCAGCACCAAGGACUCCUCAGCAGAAUGGAGUCGUCGAAAGAAAGAAUCGUACACUGAUCGAAGCUGCAAGGACUAUGAUUGCUGAAGCAAAGCUUCCUCUGUACUUUUGGGCUGAAGCUGUGUCUACUGCCUGCUAUACCCAGAAUAGAACUUUGAUCAACAAGGAUCAUAUGAAAACUCCAUUUCAUCUGUAUAACAACAAGAAACCUUAUGUCAAACAUCUUCAUGUCUUUGGAGCCAAGUGUUAUGUUCUCAAGGAUGGUGAAGAGAACUUGAACAAGUUUGAGCCAAAGGCAUCUGAUGCAAUUUUUUCUGGUUAUACAAAUAAUGCUUAUAGAGUUUUUGUAAUUGAUACUCUGUCAGUGAAAGUUAGUGUCAAUGUAACAUUUGAUGACACUAAACUACCAAGUUUACAAUCUGUUAAUCCAUCUGAAUCUCUGAAGUUUGACAACUAUCCAGAAUCUGAUUCAGAUGAUGAUGUGCCACCUGAGGUUGCAACAGGUAAUGACAACAAUGAUAAUGAUCCAGGCAAUGGUGGAGGAAAUGGCAAUAAUGCUGGAGAUUCCACUGAUGCUAGUGGUAGAUCAUCAAGUCAACCUGGCAACAGCUCAGGGGGAGCUGGUGGAUCAACUAGUCAUACACAUCAGCCUAAUGAUAAUACUGCUGAAUCAUCAAGGACACAUCUUCCAAGGGAAAGGAUUUGGAGCAGAGAUCAUCCCUUUGAUCUGAUUAUUGGUGAUCCUGAUGCUGGUGUAAGGACUAGAAGUGCUACGACAAAUGAAUGUCUCUUCUCUGGUUUUCUUUCACAAUUAGAACCAAAGAAAAUAGAUGAAGCACUUGCUGAUCCUGAUUGGGUUCUUGCCAUGCAAGAAGAACUCAAUCAAUUUGAGAGACAAGAAGUCUGGGCCCUGGUUCCAAGACCAAAAGGAAAGUCUACAAUUGGAGCUAGAUGGGUCUUCCGUAACAAGUUAGAUGGUGAUGGCAUUGUUGUAAGAAACAAAGCCAGACUGGUCGCAAAAGGUUAUUCCCAAGAAGAAGGAAUUGAUUACGAUGAAACCUAUGCUCCAGUUGCUCGUCUUGAAGCCAUCAGAAUAUUUCUUGCAUUUGCUCCACACUCCAGCUUCAAAGUUUAUCAGAUGGAUUUUAAAAGUGCAUUUCAGAAUGGAAAGCUGGAAGAAGAAGUAUAUGUGGAAUAGCCCCCUGGCUUUGAAAAUCCAGAGUUUGCUGACUUUGUGUACUUCUUAUUUAAAGCUGUCUAUGGACUCAAGCAGUCACCAAGAACAUGGUAUGACACUCUCUCUGAGUUUUUAAUUGAAAACAAUUUCACUAGAGGUAGAAGAANNNNNNNNNNNNNNNNNNNNNNNNNNNNNNNNNNNNNNNNNNNNNNNNNNNNNNNNNGUCUCUUCUCUGGUUUUCUGCACACUCCAACUUCAAAGUUUAUCAGAUAGAUGUGAAAAGUGCAUUUCACACUUGCUGAUCCUGAUUGGGCAUUUCUGAAUGGAAAGCUGGAAGAAGAAGUAUAUUUGGAAUAGCCCCCUGGCUUUGAAAAUCCAGAGUUUGCUGACUUUGUGUACUUCCUAUUUAAAGCUGUCUAUGGACUCAAGCAGUCACCAAGAACAUGGUAUGACACUCUUUCUGAGUUUUUAAUUGAAAACAAUUUCACUAGAGGUGUCAUAAACAAAACUCUCUUCUAUAAAUUGCAUUAAAAUAAUAUGAUAUUUCUUCAAAUAUAUGUUGAUGAUAUUAUAUUUGGUUCUACUAACGAUAACUUGUGCAAGAAGUUUGCUAAGUUAAUGCAGAGUAAUUAUGAGAUGAGUAUGAUGGGUGAACUGUCCUACUUCCUUGGUCUUCAAGUAAGCCAAAGGAAGAUGGAAUAUUCAUUUGCCAAUCAAAGUAUGUCAGAGAUCUUCUAAGAAAGUACAAUCUAGAAGACUCUUCUCCGGCAAAGACACCCAUGGCCACUGCCACAAAGCUUGACGAGGAUAAAUCUGGUAAGAAAGUUGAUAUCUCAAGCUAUCGAGGUAUGAUUGGCUCUUUACUCUAUCUCACUGCUAGUAGACCAGAUAUUAUGUUUGCAACAUGUUUAUGUGCUAGGUUUUAGGCUGAUCCUAAAGAAUCACAUCUUAUAGCCGGUCAAAAGGAAGAUGGCAUCUUCAUUUGCCAGUCAAAGUAUGUCAGAGAUCUUCUGCGAAAGUAAAAUCUAGAAGACUCUUCUCCGGCAAAGACACCCAUGGCCACUGCCACAAAGCUUGACCAGGAUAAAUCUGGUAAGAAAGUUGAUAUCUCAAGCUAUCGAGGUAUGAUUGGCUCUUUACUCUAUCUCACUGCUAGUAGACCAGAUAUUAUGUUUGCAACAUGUUUGUGUGCUAGGUUCCAAGCUGAUCCUAAAGAAUCACAUCUUAUAGCCGUCAAAAGAAUCUUUAGAUAUCUUAAGGGUACACCUGGUUUAGGUAUUUGGUACCCUAAGAAUACUGGUUUUGACUUAACCGGCUAUACAGAUUCUGAUUAUGCAGGUUGCAGGAUUGAUAGAAAGAGGACGUCUAGAAGCUGUCAAUUUCUAGGACGUCGGUUGGUUUCCUGGUACAGCAAGAAGCAACACUCAGUGUCCACUUCUACUGCUGAAGCUGAGUACAUAGCUGCUGGCAGUUACUGUGCUCAGAUUCUCUAGAUCAGAAACCAAUUAAAUGAUUAUGGUAUUUCUGUCGACAAAAUUCCAAUAUUUUGUGACAACACAAGUGCCAUAGCCAUUUCCAACAAUCCGGUUCAACAUUCCAGAACCAAGCACAUAGAUAUCAGGUAUCAUUUUAUUCGAGAACAUGUCAUGAAUGGUACUGUGGUGUUACAUUUCGUACCCACGUCUGAUCAAAUUGCUGACAUCUUCACUAAACCACUUGAUGAAUCCACUUUCUCUAAGUUGGUUUGUGAACUAGGGAUGUUAAAUAUGCCAUGAUUCUCAUUAUAUAUAUUUUAUAUAUGCUUUAUAUAAUUUUAUGAAUUUUCUGUGUAAUUAUAUAUAUUUUAUUCGAUUUUAUAUAAUUGUUUGUAAAUUAUCUGAUAAUUUUCUGUGUAAUUAUGCAUGUUUUUCUAUAUUUAUUUAAUUCUCUAAGUGCUGCAUACUCCCCUGUAAUAUUCUCUAUGCAUUUAGAUAAUUAUAUGUAUUUCUUUUGUAUUUUUCAAAAUUAAUGAAGCAUAAAUAUUUGAUUUUAAGUUAAUUCAUUUUAAUGAAUUAAAGUUAAAUUCAUAAAUAUUUAUGUUUAAUUACAGUUGAAUUUUACAAAAUAUAUGUGUAAUAUAUUUUAUAUUAUGUGUAUUAGAUUUUUUGUUUUUAUUUGCAAAAUGUUUUAUUUUUCAGAAAAUCAAAAAUCAUAUUAUUUAUAUAUAUAGUUUUAUUUAUUUAGCUCAGUAUGACUUUGUUAGCACAAGUCAUACUGAUUUAACUUGCUGCAUACACCAUCUGGCACGGUAUGACAUUACUUAAUAAUGUCAUACCGAGUUAUUAACCUCUCCAACACCAGUCGGUAUGACAUUAUUAGAUAAUGUCAUACCGAGUUAAUCAACAACACACACACGGUCGGCAUGACAUUACUUAAUAAUGUCAUACCGCACGCUCCGAGUAUGUCAUACUCAAGAGCUCGGUAUGACAUUAUCUUAUAAUGUCAUACCGACCCUUUUCUUCCCCUAUGACAUUAUAUUGAUAUGUCAUGCCGCCCUCCUUCAUCUCCCUCAUAUACACGCGAUACAUACACACACAGCCAUUGAUUCUUGCUCGAUUUUUUUCAAGUUUUUGCAUAAAACUUGCUGGUUUCGAUUGAUUCAAGCUUUAAGCUUGCUGGUUACUACUCCUGAUCGAGUUUCUAGUCGAAUUGCUGCCGAUUUUUCACCAAAAAUCGACCCAAUUUGCUCGCUUUUUGCUCGGUUCUUGACGAUUUCGUGACUGAUUCUUGGUUGUUCUAGGAGUCAACUACUGUAAUUGAUCGUUUCUUGACAGAUUUAUUGGGUUUUUGAACAACAAUUUCGAAACCCUCUUCUUUGGGUUCUUUCGAAUUUUAGGGUUCUUAAGAGAGGAUUUGGGGCUUUUUGGAUUUAUUGAAGCUUUGCGAGUUGUUUGGACUUCAAUUCUUGCCAUUUGAAUUAAUUAAAUUUUAAUUCGAAUUUAAUCUUUUAAUUCGAAUUAUUAAUUAAUUAAUUAAUUGAUGAUUAAUUAUUAAUUGAAAUUUGCGAGAUAUUUGAAAAUUAAUAUUUUAUUUGAAAAAUUCUCGCUUAAUUCAAUUUAUAAUUAUAUAAAUGUCUGGGAGAUUUGUAAUUGAGGAGUCCAAUUUGAAUGGUUACCUUGACCCGGACAUCAGUCUUGCUCGUUUCCGACAUUGGGUGAGAUUCCUAAAUAGUCAGUCUCUCGUCAGUACUGCAAUUACGGCUAAUGUAGAUCUUCAGAUUCAGCCGCUCCAGGACUUUUACUCUACUGCGUUAAGUACAACCUUGCUUGACAACUACCGGAUAACUGGAGAUAUUACUGGUGGACGAUCAAUCACCAUAACCACUGAUGAUGUGAAUCGGAUACUUGGGUUUCCAAGGGAGAAUUUUGCUGAGAUCCCUUCAGAUGAGGAGUUGGUCCAGUUCUUUCAGACCAUCUUAUAUCAGGGAGAGAUUUAUUUGCCAAAAAUGUUGAAAGGCAAUCUCAAACCAGAGUGGGACUUAUUCUUUGAUACUUUAGCCAAAGUAUUUGCCCCUACCACUCGCAGGAAUUUCAACAACAUAUCUUCUCUGCUUCAGAAGAUUGGAUUCUGUAUAGCUUACAAUCGUCCGAUCAAUUUUGGUAAGCUAAUUCUUCAGGAGAUUCUUAGGAAGUUGGGACCGCUGAGGAGUCGAUCUGUUCAGGAAAAUGCAAAGGUCUCGUGCUUUUAUUCAAGGUUCAUCAUGCUGUUCCUUAAUGACAAGAUGACCGAUGCUGAGAAGAACUUUUACUUCAACUCUCCUGUUGCACAAGCUCCUCGAUCCUGCACUAAAUUUAUGAAGCAGCUGGAUAAUAAGAACAAGCAUCUUAAUGUUCCUUUGAUUGUCACUCCAUAUAUGCUGGAACAGUUUAAUGCUCAGCUGUAGCCCUUUCAGAUUCCAGUGGCUCCUCCUCAACCGCAACAACAACCAGAUCAUCAACUACAACUUCAACCUCCUCAACCACAACAGCAUCAACAGCAACAGCAACCAUCUCAAGAAGAACAAUCACCGCAUCAAUCCCCUCACCAAUCACCACAUCACUCCCCUAUACAUCAAACACAACCUUCCCUUUCAUUUGAAGAUGAGCCUCAAGAAUACAUAUUUUUCGAAAAUCAACCAUCUUCAUCUGAAACUCUACCACACCUCCACACCCAACAAACACCACAAACACAAUCAACCUCUCAACCAUUACCCUCUGACUCUCCUAUCAACCAGGAGCUGCAGUCCUUUCAACAGGACCUACAGGUAGCUCAGGUACUUUCUAAUUUCUCAUCUAACUUUAAUGUUGAUACGUCAGAUUAUGUUUGUGACCUUGAUUUUGUUUUCCAGCCUACCAGCAUUGAACCUGACAACACACAGGUUCAUAUCCAAGCUGAUGACAUUCUUCAACAAACUCUCUCUUCUCCAAACACAUCAACCAACACCUCUUUGCUACCGGUUCGUAAAGUUGCCCGGAAACGGAGUGGGAGUAGUACUUUGAGUCAACCCGCAUCUUUGUCUUCUUUCAAGAAGAAAAGGGUGGAAGCCUUGGAAACAGCUGCAGCCUCAUCCUUGCCUUCCCAAAAAGGCUUGGAACUGGAACAGGCAUUGAAACAGUCUCUGGACUCAUUCUCUCUACAGAAUGAAGCCAUUGAAAUUGACCGCUCUGCCACGGUACCCUGUAUAGAUUCAAGCACUGCGCUAGCACUCACGCUAGUGCAAGACCAAACAAAUACACAGGUUAAUAUGUUUACUGAGUGCACAGAUUUUCAAAAUCAGAUUGUUAUGUAUGAAAACUUUUCUGAUCACACUUUCUUUUCUGAUCAGGGACUACUUGGCAAAGUGCAAGUAAAUCUGCCAUCACUGGCAUCUGGAGGACAAUUUGUUCCUCCACUACCUUUGAACCCAUCUCAGGGGACAUUGGUAGUCUAUACAGGUACUGCUGGAAGUGUGCAUGAUACGAGUGAAAUCAGGCAAACACCGAGCGAUACACAUGCACGUGAGGAUAGUGAACAUUCUCUGAGUGUACGUAAGGUGAGUGCACACACUACACGGAAUCUGUUACAGGAACAAUUUGAUACUCUCAAGGCUGAAUUUGAAAAGAUGGCAGCAGAAAAUGCAAGGUUGAAAGGUGGACAGUUGGUCACCUUAGAGAAGAAAGCUGAUGAGCAGCCAUCUAGUUCUUCCAGAGAUGAGCUCAAAGCUGAAAUCAAAUAUUUAUCCCUCCGAAUCGAUUCUAAUCAUGAGCUCUAUAUGGCAAAGUUUGAGGCUGUGGAGCAAUCACCGGCCCAAGUCCUCAGACUUUUGCAAGAUUCCAAAUCAAAUGCUCAAGGCUCUGGAGAGGAUCCCUCAACUAAGGGGGAGAAUAGAGGCGACAAAGGUGACAGGGACGAUAGAGGGAAUAGCUCAAAUCAAAGCAACAAGGGAAACACUUCUGGCUCUGCCCCUGACAAAGAAUCUGACAAGUCUAAAGGCAAAGAACCGUUACAUCAGUCCGACAAUAUCUUCAAUUCUGAUAAUUAUGAUGAUUAUCCUCUUGACAUGGAUGAUGAUGACGUCUUCGAUGCUACUUAUCGUCAAGCAGAUGAAGAAGGCAAAUUCGAUGAAAGCUAUUUGUUUCAGGAUGAAGAACCUGUUGACCUAGAACAUGAGGAAGAAGUAAGGAAGUAUAAGGUAGAAAAUGAAGCUAGGAAGCGUAAGCUUCAUGAUUUUCAAAAGCUUCUGGAGGACCGGCUAAUCACAGAAGAACAAAUCAAGAUCGAGAAACAGAAAAUCUUUGAUGCUGCCUGCAAGCAGAAGAAUCUUGAUAUAAAGAGGAAAGUCGGAAAGAGCUGGGAUAUGGCAAAGAGGAUCUUCAAUGGACCUCAAAGGGAGCCUUUCGAGGAUAGAAAGUUUCUAUCUCUCAUCUAUGAUCUUCGAGAGGUAAACCCUGACGAGGAUAUUUUUAUGCAUGCCUUUGCUUUGGAAAUAGAUUAUUUAACUGUGGCAGUUAAUAACUUGCUGGAAGAAUGGGAGCUGAUUGUCUAUACGAAGAGAAACGGAACAUACAGACUCUCAGUUGAUUUUCUUAAAUCAUUUUCUGUAACUGAGCUCUGGGUGCUUCGUAACAAAGUUAAGCGCUGCUCCAACUUGAACGAACUCCUUCGGGACAAACUGCUGGAUUAUGCUGAUUUCAACAGUCCACAGGUUGUUAGGAAUCCAUAUUGUGUGAAGUUCGUCAACAAGGGUGUCUUCGGUACUGUUUACUUGAAUGAAGAAGCACUUUCUAAGUAUCCAACCAAACAGCUUGCUCUGGCCUCCACUCUCCUCAGAACCAAGGGCUUCGCUUCUAAAGUCAAGUCUGAUGCUUAUGAUGUGAUUUUUGCAUAUUGCACCCGAAAGGAUGUUUCUCAGUACUUUCGGAGGAUGAAAAAGGUAACUAAAUCUCAGCCAUCAGACUUCCAGGAAGACCCUGUGGAAUUGGAAGUACUUCAUCAACUGGCUCUGGCAAGAGAACGAAAGAAGCGUGGUGAAACCACUACAUCUGAAGUGCCAACUAGACAGGAACCAUCAACUCCUACACUUCACAGUUCAGAUAUAGAAGAAGGAGAAGUUGAUCUUUAGAUUCACUAGGGAUUUGUAAUAUAUGUUCAGAAAGAACAUCCUUGUGUAAUCUAAUGUACUGUUUUGAAUUCUGGACAAUGUUUAAUUUAAUACCAGAAACUUUUGCUAUUUACAAUUCAUGUUUAAUCCUUUGUCUUAUCAGUUAGUUGAGUUAUCCUCUCGAUAAUUUGCAUGUUAUAUUAACAAACAAAUAGGGGGAGAUUGAAAGGCAAAUGUUUAGCCUAUUUGUAAUUAAAGAGGUUUCAACUCAACUAUGAUAAGAGAGCUAAGUAAAUAGCAAGUACUGUUGAAGGAAUCCGUACGAAGAACGUCAAGUGAUUUAUUAAAAUCAUAUGUCUGAAGAAUUUCAGGAUGCUGUUGCACACCACUGAUAGAAGUUCAUUAAUAUGUUCAAGCCUCAGUGUACAAAUAAUAUUUUGUAGCACGUCCAGAAGUCCAGAAGGUAUAAAGUUUUAAUACUUUAUUUAUUCAGAAGAUUCCAUACUAUUUCUACAAAUGAAGAAGAACUACGAAGACAAAGACUCGUCGAACAAGCCACCUCUCAAAUAUUUAUUUGAUAAAGAAUAUUUGAUUCAGCUAAUACAGAUGAACCAGACAGUACAUUUGUGUGUCAGCUACUCAGAUUAAUUAUUCUACAUCAACUAUAAGUGGCCGUUCAAUGAAGACAAUGACGGAAGACCCUGCAGCUGAAGAAAUAGAAUUUUAUAAUUAUUUAUUUAAUUAUUUCACCUCUCAAAAUAAUUAAAUUGGUUGUAUAAUUUAUUUAUUAAAUUGAUUCACCUUCGAAUUAAUUUAAUUUAUGAAUUUAUAUAAUUAAUAUAAUUAAGUGAAUAAUUAUUUAAUUGCAAAAUCAUGUUUUAUACAUUUAUAACUCGGCAUGACAUUAUCAAACAAUGUCAUACCGAGCUAUUUUGGUACAUUUCUCAGUGGGCAUGACAUUAUCUGAUAAUGUCAUACCGUGUCCCCUGGGUAUGACUUGUGGAGAUGUCAUACCGCACCUGCCUGACAUGACUUGUGCAUGUCAUACCGAAUGCAUCCGUAUGACAUUCCCUUCAUAUGUCAUACCGUGCCCUGUCUGUAUGACUUGUGCAUGUCAUACCGUGUCCUCUCUGUAUGACUUGUGCAUGUCAUACCGCACCUGUCCCGUAUGACUUGUGCAUGUCAUACCGCACCUGUCCAGUAUGACUUAGCUAUGUCAUACCGAGUUUUUCAGUAUGACAUUGCCUUAUAAUGUCAUACCCUCCCCUGUUUCAGUAUGACAUUGCCUAAUAAUGUCAUACCUUGUUCCUUGCAUGUCAUACCUUGUUCCUUGCAUGUCAUACCUAUACAAGUCAUACCCAAGCAAGUCAUAGCAUGGCAUGUCAUGCUAGUUCAAGUGGUUUUCCUAUAAAUAGGUCUCCACUUCCUUCAUUUGUAAAUGUUCAAAGAUUGUAAAGCUUUCAAGUUGUGCUAAACUUGCUAUUUGUUAAAUCCACAGUUUACUGUGCUUUGAUCAUUCGGUUGUUUUAUUCCGCUAAAUUAGAAUACUUCCUGUCAAAUUUAUUCUACGAACUAGUGGACAUUAAAACGAACCAUAUUAAUUAUAUAAUGACUUAAAACAUUGUUAUAUUAAUUAAUUAAUUAAAAUCUGAUUAACAAGUUUAUAUUCAAUCAGAUUAUUCCGCCGCGAUUAUUUUUAAGUAACGAUUGUAUUCAACACCCCCUUCUACAAUCGUUCCAGGACCUAACAACAUGUUACUUCACUUAGUACAGAUGAAGGACAUUAGUUUCAAGCAAGAAUAAGGAUUAUAAAUAACAUAACAACUUCAGUCAGAGUCU
This 16777-nucleotide long non-coding RNA is filed under the name Daucus carota (carrot). Its description in RNAcentral is "long non-coding RNA (DCAR_LNC001059)". Lineage: Eukaryota; Viridiplantae; Streptophyta; Magnoliopsida; Apiales; Apiaceae. The record is from RNAcentral.